RNAcentral lists this transfer RNA (73 nucleotides) under Eubacteriales bacterium. Its description in RNAcentral is "tRNA-Leu". It matches the Rfam family "tRNA". From Rfam's summary of the family: Transfer RNA (tRNA) molecules are approximately 80 nucleotides in length. Their secondary structure includes four short double-helical elements and three loops (D, anti-codon, and T loops). Lineage: Bacteria; Bacillati; Bacillota; Clostridia; Eubacteriales. The record is from RNAcentral.
GCAGGAGUGAUGGAAUGGCAUACAUACCUGUUCCAGAAGCAGGUUUUUGAGGGUUCAACUCCCUUCUCCUGUA